This 468-nucleotide ribosomal RNA is filed under the name uncultured bacterium. Its description in RNAcentral is "partial 16S ribosomal RNA". It matches the Rfam family "Bacterial small subunit ribosomal RNA", at positions 28 to 507 of the family's 1533-position model. The record is from RNAcentral.
GACGAACGCUGGCGGCGUGCUUAACACAUGCAAGUCGAACGGAAAGGCCCUGCUUUUGUGGGGUGCUCGAGUGGCGAACGGGUGAGUAACACGUGAGUAACCUGCCCUUGACUUUGGGAUAACUUCAGGAAACUGGGGCUAAUACCGGAUAUGAGCUCCUGCUGCAUGGUGGGGGUUGGAAAGUUUCGGCGGUUGGGGAUGGACUCGCGGCUUAUCAGCUUGUUGGUGGGGUAGUGGCUUACCAAGGCUUUGACGGGUAGCCGGCCUGAGAGGGUGACCGGCCACAUUAGGACUGAGAUACGGCCCAGACUCCUACGGGAGGCAGCAGUGGGGAAUAUGGCACAAUGGGCGGAAGCCUGAUGCAGCAACGCCGCGUGCGGGAUGACGGCCUUCGGGUUGUAAACCGCUUUCGCCUGUGACGAAGCGUGAGUGACGGUAAUGGGUAAAGAAGCACCGGCUAACUACGUG